AUUGAACGCUGGCGGCAGGCCUAACACAUGCAAGUCGAACGGUAACAGAAAGCAGCUUGCUGCUUUGCUGACGAGUGGCGGACGGGUGAGUAAUGUCUGGGAAACUGCCUGAUGGAGGGGGAUAACUACUGGAAACGGUAGCUAAUACCGCAUAACGCCGCAAGACCAAAGAGGGGGACCUUCGGGCCUCUUGCCAUCGGAUGUGCCCAGAUGGGAUUAGCUAGUAGGUGGGGUAACGGCUCACCUAGGCGACGAUCCCUAGCUGGUCUGAGAGGAUGACCAGCCACACUGGAACUGAGACACGGUCCAGACUCCUACGGGAGGCAGCAGUGGGGAAUAUUGCACAAUGGGCGCAAGCCUGAUGCAGCCAUGCCGCGUGUAUGAAGAAGGCCUUCGGGUUGUAAAGUACUUUCAGCGGGGAGGAAGGGAGUAAAGUUAAUACCUUUGCUCAUUGACGUUACCCGCAGAAGAAGCACCGGCUAACUCCGUG
Molecule: ribosomal RNA, 490 nt
Filed under: uncultured bacterium
Lineage: Bacteria
Description: partial 16S ribosomal RNA
Rfam family: Bacterial small subunit ribosomal RNA
Source: RNAcentral